Molecule: ribosomal RNA, 245 nt
Filed under: uncultured bacterium
Lineage: Bacteria
Description: partial 16S ribosomal RNA
Rfam family: Bacterial small subunit ribosomal RNA
Source: RNAcentral
UACGUAGGGGGCGAGCGUUAUCCGGAUUUAUUGGGCGUAAAGCGCACGCAGGCGGUUGGCCAAGUUCAUACUGACAAGCAUCGGCUUCACCGAUGAGGGGGUAUGAAAACUGGCCGACUUGAGAGCGAGAGAGGGAGAUGGAAUUCCAGGUGGAGCAGUGAAAUGCGUAGAGAUCUGGAGGAACACCAAUGGCGAAGGCAGUCUCCUGGUUCGUAUCUGACGCUCAGGGGCGAAGGCCAGGGGAG